GGGGAACUCAGCAUUGAAAAACGAGUCGGGGUAUGAAAUUUACCUCGAUCGGUGAUUGAAAAACUCCCCGGUGCGGCGGCGGCCGGCUCCUCCGGCGUUUGGUUCGUCUUCUCCAACGAGGGCAGGUGGCUAGGGUUUUUGUGGUCAGGUGUGAGGGUUUUAUUUAUACCUUUUUGCCUUUUAAUCACAGCCGUCCAUCUUGAUUGAAUCUGGACCAUUUGUACUUGAUUGCAU
RNAcentral lists this long non-coding RNA (234 nucleotides) under Carica papaya (papaya). Its description in RNAcentral is "long non-coding RNA (CPAP_LNC001596)". The record is from RNAcentral. Lineage: Eukaryota; Viridiplantae; Streptophyta; Magnoliopsida; Brassicales; Caricaceae.